GGAAGGAAAGAAGAAAGGUGAAUUCUCCAAGGUUGGGCCUAGGAGUGGAAGAAAGCUUGCUGGUGAUGGUGGGAGCUCCUCAUAGGCUCUCACUUUAGCCCUGGGCGUACUUCUUCCUGGCAACCCAUUAGGUACAAAGAAAAAAAGCACUGGACUAGGAGCCAUUUUAGGACUGGCUCUGAUAUUACCUAGCCACGUGGGCAAGUCCAGGAACCUCUCUGAGUUGUAGCUUUCUCAUCUGUCAAAAGGAGUAAACAGCAGCAUCUGCCCUACCUAGCCUGUGUUCUGUGGAGUGACCUUACUCCAUGCAGGAGACAAAUCUAAGGUGGUCAGGGAAGGCCUUGCUGAGACAGCCUCCGAGCGGCGCUGUGAAGAAAAAGCUGCGGAGAAGCAUGUUUCAGGAGGAGCGCAAAAGCCCGAAAGUGGGAACAGACUUGACUCAUUUGAAGAAGAAAAAGGCGGCCUAGCAAGUCAUGGGCACAGGAGAGAGGUGAGUGAGGAGCGUGGUGAGGUUGGCAGGGGCCCUGGAGGCCAUGCAGAGGUGGCUUCUUGGAGCAGCAUGUGACAGCCCUGGGCACUCCCUCUCUCUGGAAACACUCUUUUCUACUGGCUCCCGUGGCCACACUUCUCUGGCUUCCCUCCUACUUCUUUGGCCGCUCUUUAUUAGCCUUGUUUGCUGGUUCACCCCCCUCAGUCUGGUUCUCUUCAUUCUGUUCUCUUUCAUUAGAUAUUCUAUCUGCACUCAUCUAUGCUCAUAGCUUCAGUUAACAUUAAUAAACUGAUGACUCCAUAAUUUUUAUCUUCAGGUGUACCCUCUCCUUUGACCUCCAGAUUUAUAUAACAAACAGUCUGCCCAUGACUAUGCGUGGAUACCUCAAUUUGCUAAGCCCAAAACUGAACUCAUGGUCUUCUCCUCCAAAUGCUGUCUUCUCAGUGAAGAGCGCACCAGUGCAAUGUGUAAUUAUGCACAUGUCUGUGAGGUAAUUUAACUCUAUCUGUAUGCCUGAUGAGGCUGUAAGUUCUGUGAGAGCAGGAACCUGUGUGUUCAUUUGCUAUUUAUUUGUGUUCAUUUGUUUGUUCAUUCAUUCACUUGAUCAUUCGACAAAAAGUGCACACAUAGUAAGAAUCAUAUUCUAGGGCUAGGAAUACAGCAGUGAACAAGAUAGGGCUCAAAUCUUAUAAAAAAAGAUUUUAGCAGAGGUAGAGGUGGGAGGGAGGCAGAAAAUAAACAAAUAAACUAUUAAUAACUUCAGAUUGAAAUAAAUGGUAGAAAUAAACAAGUAAGGUGAUAGACAUUAACUGGAGGUGGGAAAGGGAGUGAGAUGAGAGGGCAACUUUAGAUGGAGUGGCCAGGGAAGGCCUCUCUGAUGACAUCAUAUUUAAGCUAAGUCUGAAGAAAAAGAGGAGCCAGCUAUGUAAGGAGUUAAGGGUAGAGCAUGCUAGGCAGUGAGAACAGCAAGUGCAAAAGCCCUAAGCUUGGUGCGUGGAGAAGCAGAAAGGAUUCCAGCAUGCACUGAAUGUGGUUAACAAGUAUGAGGUGUGAUGAGAUGAAGUUAAAGAAAUAGGCAGGAGCCAGGUCAGGCAGGGCUCUGUGGGUCAUGGUAAUGCAUCAGGGUUUUGCUCUGUCUGCAAUGUGAAGUCCCUGAAGGGUUUUAAAGAGGAGAGUGACACAGUCUGAUUCCUCUUUAAAAAGAUGGGUCUGGCUGCUGUGAGAAGGCACUGGCGGAAGGCAAGAGUGGAAGUAGCUCAGGGCUCAGAUACACAUGUGGGAAUCAUCAGCAGUUAAAUUGGCUUCAAAGCCACAGGACUAGAUGAAGUCACCUAGGAUGAGAGCAAGCCCUGGAAGAGAAGGCGUCUGAGGACUGAAGUCUGGAUGCACCAACAGUCAAGGCACUGGAGCCAAGAGAGGAGGGUUACAAGGAACACGGAACGAUCCACUGCAACAAGUGCCAGCAAGAAGUGAGUAAGCUGAGGACAGGUAGGGUCCGCAGGACUUGACAACACGGAGGUUACUGGUGACCCUGAUAUAAGAGGGGUUCCAAUGAAGUGGUGGGGACUGAAGCCAAAACAAAGCGGAUAAAAGAAUGGGAGGCGACCAAGUGGAGCCAGUGAUGACCACUUUUUCCAACGUCUAGCUGUAAAAGGGAACAGAGAAACACUGUGGCAGCUGAAGGGGAUUGUGGGUUCCAGGGGCGUCUGUUUUGGCUCCCCACUGUAUUCCCAGUGAAUGAACACACACGUGUAGAAACAUGCAUAGGGAAAAGAAGGAAACACAUCAAAAUAUUAAUAAGAGUUAUUGUUGGUAGUGAGAUGAGAAAUUUUAACUUUCUGCCUUACAAUGUAUAUUUUCUGAUUUUAAUAUAACAUUAGCAGCAGGUAACACUUACUGAGUCACUGUUACUGGUCUAAAUCCUCUAAGAGUAUUGCCACAUUUAAUCCCCACAACAAUCCUAUGAGGUAGAACCUUGGUCCCCAUUUUGCAGAUGAGAAAACUGAGGUUUAGGAAUGUGAGAUAACUUGCUGAAGGUCACAUAGCUAGUCUGUGGUAAAGACAGGACUCACAUCUGGGCAGUAUAAAUCAAGAGAAAACUUGCAUUCUUAACCACCAUGCCAAAUUUUUUUUAAUGAAUGUAUAUUACUUGCACAAAUAAAAAGGACAACUAAAAACAACUACUCUGCAAAACACAAUCAAACAAACAAACAAUCCAAGGCAACGUGCCGUAGACAAGAUCAGCCGUUUCUCCCUAAGAAACACCUGUAAAGGGGUAGCUAAGGCGAUGAGAGAACACAACUGAGAUGGUCAAGAUGUGGUAUCAGAAGAGAAAACAAGCAAACCAAGUGUUAACCCAAUCCAAACCAAGAAAAAUACCUAGUCUAACUGUAACACGUCCAGUCUGCACAAUCUUUUAAUGCAACAGGAAGUUCAUGCAGUUUAGACACAGGGACCCUAAAGAGCUUCCAAGUAUCCUGGCCACCUGAAAGCGAGGCUCUGUUGUGAGGCAGCAAUAUGUGUUAUAAUUGUGAAUAUAACUACCAAGAAUUUAAUAUUUAGUAUGUUCUGUGCUGUGUGUACUCACGCUACGUGGUAGUUCUUGUCUAUUAUCCCAUUCAAUCCUCACAGCAAACCACUGGCGGUGGGGAGUGUCUUAUUUUCAAUUUUAGAGAUGAGUUUGAAGGUCAGAAAGGUUAAAAGACUUGCUCAAAGUUUCUUGAUUCGUCUGGUUUCAAGUUGGAUGAGGAUGAAACUCUCUGGGCCUUCCUGUGCUCUGAUUCUAUGUGCUCUGACCACAGACCCUUUGGUUCCCUACUC
Equus caballus (horse) is the source of this 3310-nucleotide non-coding RNA. The record is from RefSeq and is a predicted model, not a curated record. Lineage: Eukaryota; Metazoa; Chordata; Mammalia; Perissodactyla; Equidae.